This 89-nucleotide non-coding RNA is filed under the name Moraxella macacae 0408225. The record is from RNAcentral. Lineage: Bacteria; Pseudomonadati; Pseudomonadota; Gammaproteobacteria; Moraxellales; Moraxellaceae.
CUAUAUGAUAGGGAGUUGUGGGAGUAUCGCAAGAUACGCCGUUUGCCUUUGGUACGGUACGCCAAUCCUGCAAGUUCUCUAUCACCCUA